UCCUCUUACAUUCAGCAUCUCACUUGGCUCC
Molecule: non-coding RNA, 31 nt
Filed under: Mus musculus (house mouse)
Lineage: Eukaryota; Metazoa; Chordata; Mammalia; Rodentia; Muridae
Source: RNAcentral